GACGAACGCUGGCGGCGUGCUUAACACAUGCAAGUCGAGCGGUCAGGCCUCUUCGGGGGUACACGAACGGCGAACGGGUGAGUAACACGUGGGUGACCUGCCCUCAGCUCUGGGACAAGCCUGAGAAACUGGGACUGAUACCGGAUAUGACCUUUCCUCGCAUGCGGUUUGGUGGAAAGUUUUUUCGGGUGGGGAUGGGCCCGCAGCCUAUCAGCUUGUUGGUGUGGCGAUGGCGUACGAAGGCGGCGACCGGUAGCCAGCCUGCGGAGGCGACCGGCCACACUGGGACGGAGGCACCGGCCGGGCAUCUACCGGAAGCAGCGGUAGGGAAUCGUGCGCAAUGGGCGGAAGCCUGGCGCAUCGACGGCGCGUGGAGGAUGGCGGCCUUCGGGUUGCAAACCUCUAUGGACCUCGACGAAUUUGGACGGUAGGGGUAGAAGAAGCCCCGGCCAACUACGUG
This 460-nucleotide ribosomal RNA is filed under the name uncultured bacterium. RNAcentral describes it as "partial 16S ribosomal RNA". It matches the Rfam family "Bacterial small subunit ribosomal RNA", at positions 28 to 507 of the family's 1533-position model. The record is from RNAcentral.